GCGGGUGUAGUUCAAUGGUAGAACGCCAGCUUCCCAAGCUUGAGACGAGGGUUCGAUUCCCUUCACCCGCU
This 71-nucleotide transfer RNA is filed under the name Thermobacillus composti KWC4. It matches the Rfam family "tRNA". From Rfam's summary of the family: Transfer RNA (tRNA) molecules are approximately 80 nucleotides in length. Lineage: Bacteria; Bacillati; Bacillota; Bacilli; Caryophanales; Paenibacillaceae. The record is from Rfam by way of RNAcentral.